RNAcentral lists this unclassified non-coding RNA (1869 nucleotides) under Ceratitis capitata (Mediterranean fruit fly). Its description in RNAcentral is "serine/arginine-rich splicing factor 1A, transcript variant X1". The record is from RNAcentral. Lineage: Eukaryota; Metazoa; Arthropoda; Insecta; Diptera; Tephritidae.
UUGUACUACUCACUGAAAAUGCGAUAACUAUUACUAAAGUGCGCCAUUCUUUUAAAACAACUCGCAUAAACUUAUUGUCUCACGUUUUCGAGUAAUUAAUAAAAGCAGUGUUUCACGUUUUGCGCGAACUCAUUAUAAACAUUUAUAUUUCGUCAUAAAAUGUCACGUACUGCGAGUCGUAUUUACGUUGGAAAUUUACCCCCGGACAUACGAACAAAGGAUGUCCAGGAUUUAUUUCAUAAAUUUGGCAAAGUAGCGUUUGUCGACUUGAAGAAUAGGCGUGGUCCUCCAUUCGCAUUUGUCGAAUUUGAAGAUCCCCGGGAUGCAGAAGAUGCAGUGAAAGCUCGAGAUGGAUAUGAUUAUGACGGCUAUAAACUGCGUGUUGAAUUUCCAAGAGGUGGUGGACCAGGCAGUUUCAGAGGUAAUCGUAAUGAUCGAAACCGAAACGAUGGUGGUCGUGGAGGAGGCGGUGGUGGUCGCGGUCCACCCACCAAACGGUCGCAAUACCGAGUAAUGGUAACAGGAUUGCCAUCGUCCGGUUCCUGGCAGGAUUUGAAGGAUCAUAUGCGUGAAGCUGGCGAUGUUUGCUUUGCGGAUGCUUAUAAGGACGGUACUGGCGUUGUUGAGUUUUUGAGGCAAGAAGAUAUGAAAUAUGCCAUCAAAAAAUUAGAUGAUUCUCGUUUUAGAUCUCAUGAAGGAGAAGUCUCAUACAUACGAGUGCGAGAAGAUUCCGGAGAUGGAGACCGUGGUAGUCGUGACCGCCGGGGUGAUAGAUCCCGAUCUUUUUCACCACGUGGUCGUCGUCGCGGAUCUCCUACAUAUUCCCCAGUUCGGCGAUCAUAUUCCAGGUCAAGGUCGCGUUCUCGAUCAAACUUCUAGUUUUAAAAAAGAAAAAAGAGCUAUUAAUAAAAAAAAUCACAUCGCAACAUUACCAUGUGUCGAGCGCAUAUAUCAAGGAUUUUUUUUUUAUCGCAACGUCUCAUGUCAGAUGAUUUAGAACUCCACUUUCGGAAAGCUUUAAAAUCUUUGCAAAUUGGAGUGUAAUCUUCAGGGAAUACACAUAUUUUAAGGCAAGCGUUUUUUUUUUUGCCAAAACAUUUCAUUUGAAAUAAUUGAUUUAAAAAGUUUACAGCUAUUGAAUAAUUUGCGACUGCUCUUAGUACAAUAUUCAAAGAAUAAGAAGCUUCAAAUAUUAAAUUAUGCAUCUCCCAUAAAAUAACUAAUUUGCGCAUAUUUCAUAUGAAAAUAAAUUCCAUUUUUUUAUAUUAAUAAAAUAUUUUAAUUUUCUUUCCGCUCUAUUCACGGAAAUUGGAAUGGAUGGAAUGGAAUGGAGUUAUUAAGGAUUUCGAUGGAUUCAGAAUAUUUGGAUUAAUAAUGGAAAUUUAAAAACGGAUUACAAUAAGUUAUAAACAGACGAUGAUAAUCAUUAAAAAAGACUUCAGUUAGCCAAAUAUGCAAAGGAAAAAAAAUAUGACAGGGAUUCUAAUUUACGUGAAUAUAUAUAUGAGAAUAAUAGGCGAAACCUAAUUCUCUGAAACAAAUGGAAGCGUUGAUUGGCACAGAAUUUGUUAAUCAUACAUUUGGAAUAGGAUUAAUUUGCGACUUCACUUAUUUUUCGAUUCCUGCGUACUUUUUUCUUUUGUUAUGGACUUUCAAAAAAACUGUCUGCGGCACAUUAUUAAGUUAAUUAGUUAUUACCAGAUUUCAAGGAUUACAGACUUGUGGAUCAUAUCGGUAAAUAUUGACAUUGAUUGCAAAGCCUUACACAUCCUUCAUUAACAGUACUGAUUAACACUUUAAUGAAAUUCCUAAGAGUGUAUCUAAAAAUUUCCAAUAAAGCAAAUAAUCUGAAAGAUUGCAUAAUUGAAA